CGCAUCUCCCUCAGAUUCCCGAAUUCCUGGUGUUUCCCGAAUUCCUGGUGUUUCCCAGGAAUUCCCGCACGGCGUGGGCGCGGGACCCUCUGCCGCCGCCACCGCCACUCCCUGCGGGUUUUUAAGGGGAAGGCAUAGAGAAUAUCGGGAGAAAGGCAGAACUUGGAGCCUGGAGAACAAAGUGAGUGGGUCUUUCCAGCUGCCUAGGAAAAAGUGAAGAUGAGGAAUGUACACCAUCCAGCACAGGAGAUAAGAUUCAGAUUUCACCCUCCUUGGGCCAGGAAACACUGGGAGCUGAUAAAUCCAAGGAAAUACUCAAAACUUCCUUAUCAGAGGAGUGGCAUUGCCUUUGUCUGUCUGAGCAGGGUGAGGCCCUGCUGAUGUCCCAAAGCUGGAGGCAGGACACAGGAAUUCCAGGUUUCUUGUGGCCUGGAACAGCUUGCAGAGAGGUGAGCUGCUCUCCUCCACUGCUCCAAAAUCCACCCAUUGAUGCUCAGACUGCAGAUAUGCUUUGCUGUCCCUGGAAUUCCUUUGUUCAGAGCUGACUGUUCAUCUUUACUCCUGGUUAUUUAUGGUUUACCUGAUUUUGGCUGAGCUGAGUUCAGGGCUGAGUAAUUUUCCAGCAACUUUGUUCAUGAUGAACACUUCACUAA
Molecule: long non-coding RNA, 653 nt
Organism: Vidua chalybeata
Lineage: Eukaryota; Metazoa; Chordata; Aves; Passeriformes; Viduidae
Exons: 4
Source: RefSeq, a predicted model, not a curated record